GUGGGGCAUGGUGGCACAUGCCUGUAAUCCCAGCAGCUCAGGAGGCUGAGGCAGGGGGAUCACAAGUUCAAAGCCAGCCUCAGCAACUUUGUGAGACAUUGUUUCAA
RNAcentral lists this small RNA (107 nucleotides) under Marmota monax (woodchuck). Lineage: Eukaryota; Metazoa; Chordata; Mammalia; Rodentia; Sciuridae. The record is from RNAcentral.